RNAcentral lists this ribosomal RNA (423 nucleotides) under uncultured bacterium. RNAcentral's name for it is "bacterial SSU rRNA". It matches the Rfam family "Bacterial small subunit ribosomal RNA", at positions 917 to 1344 of the family's 1533-position model. The record is from RNAcentral.
GGGCCCGCACAAGCGGUGGAGCAUGUGGUUUAAUUCGAUGCAACGCGAAGAACCUUACCAGGACUUGACAUACUACGAAUUCUUCUGAGAAGAAGAAGUGCCUUCGGGAACGUAGAUACAGGUGGUGCAUGGCUGUCGUCAGCUCGUGUCGUGAGAUGUUGGGUUAAGUCCCGCAACGAGCGCAACCCUUAUUUUUAGUUACUAACUCGUUAGGUUCUCUAGAAAGACUGCCGGUGACAAACCGGAGGAAGGUGAGGAUGACGUCAAGUCAGCAUGCCCCUUAUGUCCUGGGCUACACACGUGCUACAAUGGUUAAGACAAAGAGUCGCGAGCUCGCGAGAGUCAGCUAAUCUCAUAAACCGUGGCUCAGUUCAGAUCGUAGGCUGCAACUCGCCUACGUGAAGGCGGAAUCGCUAGUAAUCG